This 2906-nucleotide ribosomal RNA is filed under the name Klebsiella michiganensis. RNAcentral's name for it is "23S ribosomal RNA". It matches the Rfam family "Bacterial large subunit ribosomal RNA". The record is from RNAcentral. Lineage: Bacteria; Pseudomonadati; Pseudomonadota; Gammaproteobacteria; Enterobacterales; Enterobacteriaceae.
GGUUAAGCGACUAAGCGUACACGGUGGAUGCCCUGGCAGUCAGAGGCGAUGAAGGACGUGCUAAUCUGCGAAAAGCGUCGGUAAGGUGAUAUGAACCGUUAUAGCCGGCGAUGUCCGAAUGGGGAAACCCAGUGCAAUUCGUUGCACUAUCGUUAACUGAAUACAUAGGUUAACGAGGCGAACCGGGGGAACUGAAACAUCUAAGUACCCCGAGGAAAAGAAAUCAACCGAGAUUCCCCCAGUAGCGGCGAGCGAACGGGGAGCAGCCCGGAGUCUGAAUCAGCUUGUGUGUUAGUGGAAGCGUCUGGAAAGUCGCAGGGUACAGGGUGAUACUCCCGUACACUAAAACACACAGGUUGUGAACUCGAAGAGUAGGGCGGGACACGUGGUAUCCUGUCUGAAUAUGGGGGGACCAUCCUCCAAGGCUAAAUACUCCUGACUGACCGAUAGUGAACCAGUACCGUGAGGGAAAGGCGAAAAGAACCCCGGCGAGGGGAGUGAAAAAGAACCUGAAACCGUGUACGUACAAGCAGUAGGAGCCCACUAGUUGGGUGACUGCGUACCUUUUGUAUAAUGGGUCAGCGACUUAUAUUCUGUAGCAAGGUUAACCGUAUAGGGGAGCCGCAGGGAAACCGAGUCUUAACUGGGCGUUAAGUUGCAGGGUAUAGACCCGAAACCCGGUGAUCUAGCCAUGGGCAGGUUGAAGGUUGGGUAACACUAACUGGAGGACCGAACCGACUAAUGUUGAAAAAUUAGCGGAUGACUUGUGGCUGGGGGUGAAAGGCCAAUCAAACCGGGAGAUAGCUGGUUCUCCCCGAAAGCUAUUUAGGUAGCGCCUCGUGAAUUCAUCUUCGGGGGUAGAGCACUGUUUCGGCUAGGGGGUCAUCCCGACUUACCAACCCGAUGCAAACUACGAAUACCGAAGAAUGUUAUCACGGGAGACACACGGCGGGUGCUAACGUCCGUCGUGAAGAGGGAAACAACCCAGACCGCCAGCUAAGGUCCCAAAGUCAUGGUUAAGUGGGAAACGAUGUGGGAAGGCCCAGACAGCCAGGAUGUUGGCUUAGAAGCAGCCAUCAUUUAAAGAAAGCGUAAUAGCUCACUGGUCGAGUCGGCCUGCGCGGAAGAUGUAACGGGGCUAAACCAUGCACCGAAGCUGCGGCAGCGACACUAUGUGUUGUUGGGUAGGGGAGCGUUCUGUAAGCCGUUGAAGGUGGCCUGUGAGGGUUGCUGGAGGUAUCAGAAGUGCGAAUGCUGACAUAAGUAACGAUAAUGCGGGUGAAAAACCCGCACGCCGGAAGACCAAGGGUUCCUGUCCAACGUUAAUCGGGGCAGGGUGAGUCGACCCCUAAGGCGAGGCCGAAAGGCGUAGUCGAUGGGAAACAGGUUAAUAUUCCUGUACUCGGUGUUACUGCGAAGGGGGGACGGAGAAGGCUAUGUUGGCCGGGCGACGGUUGUCCCGGUUUAAGCAUGUAGGCGGAUGUUCCAGGUAAAUCCGGAACGUUACUAACGCUGAGGUGUGAUGACGAGGCACUACGGUGCUGAAGUGACAAAUGCCCUGCUUCCAGGAAAAGCCUCUAAGCAUCAGGUAACAUCAAAUCGUACCCCAAACCGACACAGGUGGUCAGGUAGAGAAUACCAAGGCGCUUGAGAGAACUCGGGUGAAGGAACUAGGCAAAAUGGUGCCGUAACUUCGGGAGAAGGCACGCUGAUGGUAGGUGAAGUGACUUGCUCAUGGAGCUGAAAUCAGUCGAAGAUACCAGCUGGCUGCAACUGUUUAUUAAAAACACAGCACUGUGCAAACACGAAAGUGGACGUAUACGGUGUGACGCCUGCCCGGUGCCGGAAGGUUAAUUGAUGGGGUUAUCCGUAAGGAGAAGCUCUUGAUCGAAGCCCCGGUAAACGGCGGCCGUAACUAUAACGGUCCUAAGGUAGCGAAAUUCCUUGUCGGGUAAGUUCCGACCUGCACGAAUGGCGUAAUGAUGGCCAGGCUGUCUCCACCCGAGACUCAGUGAAAUUGAACUCGCUGUGAAGAUGCAGUGUACCCGCGGCAAGACGGAAAGACCCCGUGAACCUUUACUAUAGCUUGACACUGAACACUGGUCCUUGAUGUGUAGGAUAGGUGGGAGGCUUUGAAGUGUGGACGCCAGUCUGCAUGGAGCCAUCCUUGAAAUACCACCCUUUAAUGGCUGGUGUUCUAACGUGGGCCCGUAAUCCGGGUUGCGGACAGUGUCUGGUGGGUAGUUUGACUGGGGCGGUCUCCUCCUAAAGAGUAACGGAGGAGCACGAAGGUCAGCUAAUCCUGGUCGGACAUCAGGAGGUUAGUGCAAUGGCAUAAGCUGGCUUGACUGCGAGCGUGACGGCGCGAGCAGGUGCGAAAGCAGGUCAUAGUGAUCCGGUGGUUCUGAAUGGAAGGGCCAUCGCUCAACGGAUAAAAGGUACUCCGGGGAUAACAGGCUGAUACCGCCCAAGAGUUCAUAUCGACGGCGGUGUUUGGCACCUCGAUGUCGGCUCAUCACAUCCUGGGGCUGAAGUAGGUCCCAAGGGUAUGGCUGUUCGCCAUUUAAAGUGGUACGCGAGCUGGGUUUAGAACGUCGUGAGACAGUUCGGUCCCUAUCUGCCGUGGGCGCUGGAGAAUUGAGGGGGGCUGCUCCUAGUACGAGAGGACCGGAGUGGACGCAUCACUGGUGUUCGGGUUGUCAUGCCAAUGGCAUUGCCCGGUAGCUAAAUGCGGAAGAGAUAAGUGCUGAAAGCAUCUAAGCACGAAACUUGCCCCGAGAUGAGUUCUCCCUGACCCUUUAAGGGUCCUGAAGGAACGUUGAAGACGACGACGUUGAUAGGCCGGGUGUGUAAGCGCAGCGAUGCGUUGAGCUAACCGGUACUAAUGAACCGUGAGGCUUAACCUU